UACGUAGGGGGCAAGCGUUGUCCGGAUUUAUUGGGCGUAAAGAGCGUGUAGGCGGCCAUACAGGUCCGUUGUGAAAACUGGAGGCUUAACCUCCAGACGUCGAUGGAAACCGUAUGGCUAGAGUCCGGAAGAGGAGAGUGGAAUUCCUGGUGUAGCGGUGGAAUGCGCAGAUAUCAGGAGGAACACCAACGGCGAAGGCAGCUCGCUGGGACGGUACUGACGCUAAGGCGCGAAAGCGUGGGGAGCGAACAGG
This 253-nucleotide ribosomal RNA is filed under the name uncultured bacterium. RNAcentral's name for it is "partial 16S ribosomal RNA". It matches the Rfam family "Bacterial small subunit ribosomal RNA", at positions 524 to 776 of the family's 1533-position model. The record is from RNAcentral.